GGUAUGUAAGCUCUAUCAGCAGGGAAGAUAAUGACGGUACCUGACUAAGAAGCACCGGCUAAAUACGUGCCAGCAGCCGCGGUAAUACGUAUGGUGCAAGCGUUAUCCGGACUUACUGGGUGUAAAGGGAGCGCAGGCGGUGCGGUAAGUCUGAUGUGAAAGCCCGGGGCUCAACCCCGGUACUGCAUUGGAAACUGUCGUACUAGAGUGUCGGAGGGGUAAGCGGAAUUCCUAGUGUAGCGGUGAAAUGCGUAGAUAUUAGGAGGAACACCAGUGGCGAAGGCGGCUUACUGGACGAUAACUGACGCUGAGGCUCGAAAGCGUGGGGAGCAAACAGGAUUAGAUACCCUGGUAGUCCACGCCGUAAA
Molecule: ribosomal RNA, 368 nt
Filed under: uncultured bacterium
Lineage: Bacteria
Description: bacterial SSU rRNA
Rfam family: Bacterial small subunit ribosomal RNA
Source: RNAcentral